GACGAACGCUGGCGGCGUGCCUAAUACAUGCAAGUAGAACGCUGAAGCUUGGUGCUUGCACCGAGCGGAUGAGUUGCGAACGGGUGAGUAACGCGUAGGUAACCUGCCUGGUAGCGGGGGAUAACUAUUGGAAACGAUAGCUAAUACCGCAUAAGAGUAGAUGUUGCAUGACAUUUGCUUAAAAGGUGCAAUUGCAUCACUACCAGAUGGACCUGCGUUGUAUUAGCUAGUUGGUGAGGUAACGGCUCACCAAGGCAACGAUACAUAGCCGACCUGGGAGGGAGAUCGGCCACACUGGGACCGAGACACGGCCCAGACUCCUACGGGAGGCAGCAGGAGGGAAUCUUCGGCAAUAGACGGAAGUCUGACCGAGCAACGCCGCGUGAGUGAAGAAGGUUUUCGGAUCGUAAAGCUCUGUUGUAAGAGAAGAACGAGUGUGAGAGUGGAAAGUUCACACUGUGACGGUAUCUUAACAGAAAGGGACGGCUAACUACGUG
This 497-nucleotide ribosomal RNA is filed under the name uncultured bacterium. RNAcentral's name for it is "partial 16S ribosomal RNA". It matches the Rfam family "Bacterial small subunit ribosomal RNA", at positions 28 to 507 of the family's 1533-position model. The record is from RNAcentral.